CCUANGGGAGGCUGCAGUGAGGAAUUUUGCGCAAUGGGGGCAACCCUGACGCAGCAACGCCGCGUGGAGGAUGAAGGUCUUCGGAUUGUAAACUCCUUUUAUCCCUGAAAAAACCCCUAUUGAAGAAAUAGGAUUGAUUGUAAGGGAUGAAUAAGCCACGGCUAACUUCGUGCCAGCAGCCGCGGUAAGACGAAGGUGGCAAGCGUUACUCGGAAUUACUAGGCGUAAAGCGUGGGUAGGCGGCCUGAUAAGUCUGUUGUGAAAGCUCCUGGCUUAACCGGGAGAGGCCAAUGGAUACUGUCGGGCUUGAAUGUGGGAGAGGAUGCUGGAAUUCCCGGUGUAGCGGUGAAAUGCGUAGAGAUCGGGAGGAAGGCCGGUGGCGAAGGCGGCGCUCUGGAACGUUUCUGACGCUGAGGCUCGAAAGCGUGGGGAGCAAACAGGAUUAGAUACCCUANUANUC
Molecule: ribosomal RNA, 460 nt
Filed under: uncultured bacterium
Lineage: Bacteria
Description: bacterial SSU rRNA
Rfam family: Bacterial small subunit ribosomal RNA
Source: RNAcentral